UUUCACCGUCCGUGUUUUGCUUUGUUUAAAUCAGUUUAGGCUAACUUUAAUGCUAAACACGUGAUUAUUGAUCAUCCAGCUAACCCGAGUUAAUACCAUUACACGAUCAACAAGGAAAGCCGUUAGUAUUGUUAAAUAGAGGGGAAAACAGCAUUUACAUGUUUGGACUGCAGUGUAAACAUUGCAAAUUUGCCCACAGUAGCAGAGAGGUCAUCUUGAAACACUACAGGCUUCGGCACUAUCAAGGGCGAUCCUGGCAGCAUCCUUGCUUGUAUACUGAUUGCAUCUGCACUUUUAAAACUUUAGGUUUUUUGCUUUAAAAACACAUUUGACAAGAUCACACAAACACACUGCAGUUACUGACCACAUUAGUUUUUCAUGUGAGUUAUGUGAUUUCAAAGAUGUUUGUCAGCCAUCCCAGUUUUUAAACCAUCUCAGAAAUCAUUUGAGGAGGCAUGACACAGUCAAUUGUCCUUUUAAAGGUUGUGAGCUGACAACAAAUGUUCUUUCAACUUUUAGUAACUCGGAAGUAUCUCGGAAGCAUAAAUUUAAAGGUUUUGAAGAUUUUAGUUCUUUUGUUACAUUGCAAUCUGGUUGUUUGGGAAGCAAUGAAGAGACAGGGUCUGAAGAGUCAGGAGAUUUUAUGCAGAAUCCGCAGUCAAAUUUUACUGAUGUCAGUUUUUAGUUUCCUGCAGUUCCUUCUGAACAUGAAACAAAUGUGUAUUUAGAGCCUGUAGAGUAUAGAGCUCUAGAGCACAAAAUUGCAUCAUUGAUCCUUUACAUGCAGACAAUUUUGCAUGCUUCAAAAAGUGCAAUUCAGGAUAUAUUAAGUUGGAUGUGUGAUAUUGUUUCGUUGUCUAGGUAUACAGCAAAACAAUCAAUCAGGGAUAUUCUGAGAAAGUAUGAAAGCCACAUUGAUGAGUCAUUGGCAGAAGAGCUUGCUGAAUUAUCAGCAGAAGUGCUCAAAACAAAUCCUGUUUUUACAGCUACUGCAAAGAAGGGUACUCUCUCAACAGAAUACAGAAGGUAUGCUUAUUUUAAAGAGCAUUUUCAAGUAAUUGAUCCUGUGGAGUACCGAUUUCAUAGACUACACCAAAAUAGUUUUGUGUAUGUCCCAGUGUUGAGGGUUCUUGAAGUGUUGCUAAACCGAACAGAUGUCUUGGAAAAAGCAGAAAGACCUAGAGCAGAAAGGUGUGUUUGUUGAAGCACUGAAUGCACAUCUCAGAGGAACGGUAUAUUGUGUAUGUGCUGACAAUCUUGGGGCUCACAGUCUUGCUGGCUUUCAAGAAAGCUUUCAGGCUGAAAGGCUGACUUGAUUUUGCUAAGUCAGCAAAGAUGACAUACAGACACAAUAUGCUAGUUGUUUUCAGCUUCGAACAAUUGAACAGCACAACUCCAUUACAAAUGAACCGAGGGACCACCAUGAGCUUCAGAGCAGACUGGGUGUAAAAAUAGAAUGUGUUCUCAGUAAGCAUCUUUCUUUCUUUCACCCAAUAACAGGGUUCCCGCCAGAUGUCCUACAUGACACUUUGGAGGGAAUUGUUCCAUUUGAGUUAUCAGUUUGCUUAAAAGAACUCAUCACAAAGAGACAUUUUACUCUUGAUAUUCUGAACAAAUGUAUUAAGUCCUUUUCUUACAAGGACUCAGACAGAGUAAACAGACCCAAAUUAAUUUCCCAGUCCAGUUUCUCAAAGAAAACCAUAGGUGGGAAUGGUCAUGAGAACUGGGCAUUACUACGCUUAUUACCAUUACUGAUUGGUAAUCUUGUACCCAAUUCUGAGCCUGCUUGGGAAAUUUUGAUGGACUUGAGAGAGAUAGUGGAGUUGGUCAUGUCUGCAAAGUUUUCAGAAGAAAUGCUAUGCUUUUUAGAACGAAAAAUUGUAGAACACCGACAACUGCUCAAAGACACAUUCCCAAACUUGAAAUUGCGCCCAAAACACCACUAUGUGGAGCAUUAUCGACUCCUGAUUCGCUGUUUUGGGCCAUUAGUUGAGCUUUGGACGUUCAGAUUCGAGGUGCAUUUGCAGAUGUGCAUUUGCAUGGAAUUCACUUCAGUGAAGGCAUGAUUUUGUCCUCAGGUCAAUGCAGUGGCUUGCCUAAUUUUUUCAGAAUACUCUGUGUACUUGUCAAUGCUAACAAGGUAGCCUUCCUUUUGCAAAAGGCGUUCGUCAUGGUACAUUGAGCACUACAGGUGUUACGAGUUUUCCGAAACAAGUGCAAUUGAAAUACUUGAGCCAGAGGAUCUACUGUAAAUGAUCCUCAUCCUCUCACAUCAUAUACAGUUCAGGGAAGGAACAUGAUUGCACUAAAGAGAUUCCUUCUCCAUUAAUUGUUUUUCACAUAGCCACACAAUGAUUUCCUGAUUUGAACUUUAACGUAACAAAGUAUGUCACAGGUUGAAGGAACUGUUCUCCGAAAUGUAAAUUACAUUUUAAACCUGUAUGACUUCCUAAUGCAGAAGACAAAAGCGGGUGUUUUAAAGUAAUAGUUCACCCAAAAAAUCCAGUAAUUCCAAGACCUGUAAGAUCUUUGUUGGUCUUUGGAACACCAAUUAAGAUAUUUUUAAUUAAAUCCGAGUGCUCUCUGACCUUCCUUAGACAGCAAGGGUCUUCAACAUUCAUGCACUUGAGUCGGUCUUCUUUAUAAAAGCACUAAGCCUCAAAGAAAUAGCUCAGGUGAGGCAGCGGGUUUCCAUGUGACAUCAGGGGUUAAACUGUGAUUUUAUGAAGCCAUAAGAAUACUUUUUUUGGUACUCUCCAAAAUGACACUAGGGUGAUGUGGAGGAGAAGAAUUGUUGAAUAAAGGUAUUUUUCACACAAAAUAUUCUUGCAGCAAAUUACCAUAGCAAAUUUUGAAAGUUUAAAUUUUUGAACUACCCCCUUUAAGUCAUUUAACAUGUUACCACAUAUAAAGCUUUGCUAUAUACUUAAUGUACUUUUAAUCAGAAUUUUGUUUUACAGAAUAUGCGGCUCCGUGUUGUGUUGGCCCCUGAUAAUAUUAGGAGGCUGGAUAUUUUGCAAAAUCUCACUUCGGUUGAACAUUUGAAAACAAUUAUUCAAGAAAGGCUUGAAAUAAAGGAUGAUUUUCUGAUUCAGUUUGAGGAUCCCGAGUUCGGAAAUGAACUCUGUAACUUGACCAAUAUAACAGAGCUUCCACCAGAAAGAGCAGUGCUGAAGAUCAUCCAGAAAGUACCUGAAGAAUCAGAACUAGAGACCUCGAUUUCCUCUUUAGACACUGCCAGUAUGUCCUCCCCAUCUGAUAGCUCAAACCAGAGUUUCCCCUUUGUGUCUGUGAGACAGCGUGAAAUGUCUUGGUGGCCAUUUCCUUUUCCGAUUCCCAAGUACUCUUAUGAUGUUGAGUUGCGGCUUGAGAAAGGGAAUGAUAAUUUUAAAGAAGAUGGAACACUGCUCACAGUACCAAGAGAAAUGAAAAUGGACAUCCUGGAUAGCAUAGCUCAGGCAAUUUUUUCAUUCAAAGCUUACCCAAACAAUCAAGAGUUGGAGUCUGUGUCUGCUGCUCUGAUUGAAAAGUAUCCAUUUCUGAAGGACCCAGGCUCAGGAACAGGUUAUCACAGCUGGACUAUGAGCAUCAAAUAUAAGGUUGGGAACUACCGCCAGAAACUACGAACGGCAGGUUGCUCUGAAGUUACUGUGAACCAAAAAAAGUGAACAAUGACUCUAGAUGUUUAAAGAAAGCAAAGAGAUGUGAGGUAAACUUCCUCCCAGACAACCCAGUAGGGCAGACAGAUUGUUCCUUACAGAAGGAAAAAUAUGCACUACAAGAGGAAAUGAAGAAACAUUUCAGCAUGGCAAUUGUUGACUCCAAAAUGGAACUGAGAUUCUCUCUGAGAAGGAAGGAGAUAGUGAAGAACCUCUUGUGGCUGAUGUCCUAAAACAAUGGCCAGCAUUGUUUUUGGAAGAUCAGGUCUGUUUUAAGGUCUGUGCCGAGUUUUACAGAAUUACACAAACCAACCUGAAGAGAGUACCUUUUUGUCUUCUUUGGAUGAAUAUGCACCAAAGAUGAUCAUGUUGUACCGAUCACGUAGUGGAGCCUAUGGAGAUGAAAUGAAGACCCUCCUAGACCAACUUGAUCAAGCUUCUGAUGUGCUUGCUCAAAGAAAAGCUAAAGCUCUCAAAGGUCUACCUUUGUUUAUGAGGGAAAAGUCUGGAAACUUCCUGAAGACUUGCCUGUCAGUAAAACUGGAAAUCAGAUGUACAUUUAUAUUUCUACUACUAUGGCAUGGCUUGAUGCUCAGGCUUACUGUAGACAGCAUUACACAGACUCGGCCAUCUUGAAAGAACCACCUGAAGACUGAAGACCUGAAGUUAUAAUGGGAAUGAUCUCAGGCUGGACUAGGCUGGACUUAGUUUGGUUCAGAGACUCCUGGAAGUGGACAGACCAAACAAAUUUCUCUACCAUCAGCUGGUUGACUGGAAAACAUCAUAAUGCCCUGGGGAAUGAAAACUGUGGUUAUAUAAAUAACGGUCAGGCUGCUGAUGCUCAAUGCUCAGACAUAAUGCCUUUCUUCUGUUACUCAGAUUUAACGUUACAACAAACACUAUGAGUAAAGGUUUGAUACAAAGAGAUGUGAAUGAUCCUGCGAUGAUGAAAGCCAUCUUGGAGCAGGUUGGUCUUAUCCUCCACAAGACUUAUAAUGUACAUUUCCCAGUAUUCAUCAAACUCUGACACACACACACUGUAUUGUAAUUAGAUUCUGUCUGUUGUAUUCAGUUUCUGUAUCAUUUCCUACAGGCGAGUCUCUAUCCUGCAUUAUUUAGCAAUAAAAGUUAUUUAAACAAUCAGAUGGAGUUGUUUCACAAGGUGAAGGAAGAAAAAAUACCCAAAUAGAGAAUAAAAGUGUGACCUCUAAAUCUGUUAAUUUGAAUUUAUCUUUAGAUUUCUGCUAAUUUUGGUUUAUCUGUUUAGCUGUUACAUUGCACUAAUGUACAUUGGCAUAACAAGUAUAAUGUAUGAUGUUAACCAUUCCACCUGAGGGCCCCCCUGGGGAAAGGUGGGGCAGAAAUUAUACAUCCUUUCUACAAGCAUACAAACCCUGAUUAUAUCUACACAUGAAGCAUACCAGAAAAAUGGGAAGAAACUCAGCUAUAUGACUACAACACCGUUUUCAGUUAAACAAAACACAAUUCCACAAAAAAACAGACAGAAAAUAAUUGUAAACAUUGCAUACAUAACAAAACUGCCCCAAUCAUAUCAGUCAUUACACAAUACAAACACAGACUUGGUUGAAUAAAAUUACUAGAAUAAAAAAACACUAAACAUUCAUACAUCCAUAACACCAAAUUUGCUCUUACCUUUGGUGUUUCAGCAUUAUAAAUGAUUUUCCAAUACGAAACUACACUUAAUUCUUCUAAUACCAUGUCUGUGUCCCUAAAAAACUGUUGUUUAUUGGGUCUACUCUUCUCUGUGUCUGAAACAAGGAAGAUUGGCCAUCAUUCCUGACACUAACUUUUCUGCAAAAAUUUCAAGCAAGAGGCUCAAAAAUUAAACUAAGGUUGAACAGAUCUUUUUCUAUAACUAAUAUACUAUAAGGGAUGAAUAUUAAUACCUGGCUUUAGAUUUUAUUAUCAUUAAACACUAAUGUAAAAAGUUCUUAUAACACCUUUGUUUUACCUUUGAAUUUCUCCUGAUAACAUCAGAUGUAAUUCCUGUAUAUCUGUACAUUAUAAUAAGGGAUGUAUGCUUUAGAGGAGAAGCAGAGAUUCAGAAGGCAGCAACUCUUUGGAAAACAUCUAGGCUGUGAGCAGUUCUUACCACAUAUAUUUAGUCAUUAUAUUUAUCAGAGUUGUAGGAUACUUUCGAACUUAUGCACAUAUUUUGCUAUUUAACUCUUUUUUUAUAUUUCUCACUGUGUUGCAAAAAAGAUUUGUAAAAGUAUUUGUGAUAUAUUCUGAUUAUAUCUUGGUAUGCUCUGUACUUAAUUUGUGAUGUCUUUUGUCUAUGACCUCAUCUUAUGACCAUGAUAUUCUUUGUUCUACUUGAAUGAGCAUGGACCAAUUACAGAGACUCCAUCGUUAAACCUACGUGUACAGAAGUCUGUCGCCGCCUCCUGUUGACGCUUAUGAUACCCAAUGUUAAAGCCUUUUGUUAUUCAUGGAUAACACCUUUUGUUGUACAUAGAUUACACUAAAAACCACACUAUUGCUUUGUCUAAAUAAACCUUUAAAUUCA
Molecule: long non-coding RNA, 6189 nt
Organism: Tachysurus vachellii
Lineage: Eukaryota; Metazoa; Chordata; Actinopteri; Siluriformes; Bagridae
Exons: 6
Source: RefSeq, a predicted model, not a curated record